This is a long non-coding RNA of Mesocricetus auratus (golden hamster), 4005 nucleotides long. RefSeq lists it as uncharacterized. The transcript is spliced from 2 exons. NCBI's taxonomy places the organism in Eukaryota, Metazoa, Chordata, Mammalia, Rodentia, Cricetidae. The record is from RefSeq and is a predicted model, not a curated record.
GGUCGGGCUCUGGGUCAACAGUGUCAGUGAUGCAGAUCAGGUUGGGGUGGGGGACCAGGAGGAGGGGGCUCCACUGUAGUUACUGCUGCUGUGUGAGGAGCCGCUCCUGACUUCCCAGCAUUAAACAGUCCCAUUUCCUCUGUGCUCAACCCUGAGGGACAGUACUUCAGACAGAGCCCAGCAGGGUAGCUCACCUCCACCACUGCAGCCCUGGUUGGGAAAGCUGAAGCCUGGUGGUGACUACAGCCACGGAGGGUUAGAGUCACUGGGGGCUUCUUCAUCACACAUCCCUCAGGGGGCUGGACUGGGAUGCAGGCUGGUGGCGGGCGACAUGUGACCUUCCUGCUUGGCAGGGGCUUAGAGCCUGCUACAGAGAAGGCAGAACCUGACCCUUGCCUCUGACCAGCAUUCUGUCCAAGGAAGGCUGGCCCAGAUCCAAAUCCGAGGCCAGCCCUUGACAGCGAGAGGGAGGAGAGAGGACACCUUUGCGAUGGAUCCUGUGGGCUGGGCCAUGUCCUGACCCACUUUAGGAAACGCCUCUUCAUUCAGGGUCCUGUGUCUGUCCCCAGGUUCACACAGUGACCUUCCUUCUGGCCUUCAUCUCCCCUGUAGCCGCCACCACUGCAUUGUUGAUGCAGCCCAUGGCUUGGUCUGCUGGCCUCAGUCUCCCUACCUGACACUUCACUUGACACAGUAACCCGAAGAAGAGACCCGGCUCCUGGCCUGCCACAUCCCCCAGAACAAGCCAUCUUGUGUGACACUCUGACCUCAGAAACUACUUAUGUCAUCUAUCAGGGAUGUGACUUCUCCCUCUGCCCCAGCCCUGCACCCCACCCCUCUAUUCAACCCCAGCCUUCACCAACUUGGCCAGUAGCCAAUCUAACGUUCUCGGGACCCCUCUAUUUCCCUGAGCCCAGACCUGGGGACUCUAGUCCUGCGAUCCCAGUCAUGCUUCAGUGACUCUACUGAGGGUCUAGCUUCCCUGAAACUUCUCAGAGAUGGAGCCAACACCUACCAGCUGCUCAUCUUCCCCUCGUGUCAUAGGUCCAGGCAAGGAUACAGCCUUGUCCCUGUGGAGUGCACAUCCCAGGAGACUCAUAGUGCAUAGGCACCAAACCAGCAGAUUGUGGUCGGGGUAAAGUGGCAGGAAAAGGAGCGAAUGGCCCCUGUGGCAGGCUGGGAGAGGAAUGGAGGAAUGAGCAGGGGGUGGGUGCAUGCAGAAGGGGGGCAGGACUGGGCUGGGACACUGCACCCUGAUCAGUCAUCCUCCAGCCCUAGCUGGCCAGUCAGAGCUUGGGAGACAAAUACCCCCAGAACUGCCCCUGUGAGGGAGGGGCAUACCUCAUUCCAGGCAGUUGUCUGCAGCUGAUCCUGCGAUUUGAGCACCUCCCACAGGUGCUUUGUAAUUAAGACUUCCUGGUAGUUAACUCUGGGUCGAGUUAGCCGGGUUAAACCAAUACUUAAGCUGAGGUCAGUCUAGAUGCUACUGUAAAGGUGUGUUUUAGACAACCUUCACAUUUAAAUCAAUGGACUUGGAGGAACUCCGAUCACUGACUACAGCACAGUGGGUCUCCCUUGACCAUCAAGGCCAGAAGAGAGCAGAGGCUAAUCGCCCCUGAAGGAAGGAAGACUUCAGAUGCUCUCACACUGGAACACUUCCCUCCGGCACCUGGAGCAGAGUGCUGCAUACAGAAAGAGAGUCUCUGCACGCAGAGGUGGCUUCUCGCUUGGUGUCAGAGCUGGAGAGUGGCCAUGGUAAAGCUGGGCUUGGGGAAGGACAGCCCAGGAACUGACUUCAAAUUUAAAACACACUUAUAAAGCAAAGGAGGAAAUAAGUCACUCCGCAGAUGGGAAACUGCAGUCCUUCCCAAGCCUAAUGCGAGGUCAGCACAGAAAACAGCCCCACAGAGAAAAAACAAAAGCCAAGAACCAGCAGAGACCGGUAGCAGAAGGACUGCAGCCUCCAACAAAUGGCCCUGAGUUGGACAAUCCCUGUCUCUGCAAAUGAUGAGUGAACCAAGGGAUAUGCAGGCACCAUUAGUCACCAUCAGAACUGCAGAGUGACCUCAGGUGUGCCUAAAACACCAUGGAAACAGAGCCCUGCUAGGCUGCCAGGAACCACCAAGGACGGACCCAGCAGAAGCUGACCGCUCCUGCAGACUCCGGCCGCCUCCACACCUGCAUCGCAGAAGCUAGGGCAUUGUCACCUUGGAAAUGCUGACAGCACCCUGCCCGGGAGCUGGUGUUACGUAAGUUCUGCGAGGUCACAGGAGGAGGGCCUCUGGCUGUUGAGGGCCACAAGCACCAAGUACAGCAGAGAACUCCAGGCUCUAUGCUCAGAAACCUCUCAGCUGGCUAGAAAACCUCCAGAAAUGAGGCCCAUCCCUCACAGGGUGGCUAGACUCAAAGCCCUCCUCACACUCAGGGAGGACCCACCUCCCCGCCCCAUACCAUCCUCAGAGUCCAGUUGCUCUAUGCUCCAGCAAAAACCACCAAGACCCCAUGGUCUUAGGCUAUUCGUUGAUGUGGUGGCUCCUACUGAGUGAGUGACACAGCCAGUCCCCUUUCCUCUCUAAAUCAACAUAAGUAACCUGUCCUCUUUCACACAGAGACGAGGCCAGGAUCCCCUAACUCUUCCCUGACUCCAUGGUUUAGUCACAGCAUUUGGUUUUGCCUAAAUUGGGCAUUCUGGGCAGACCCUAGGCCUUUACAUAUUAUUCCUUCUGCCUGAGAAGCGCCUAUGCCUGCAUUUUCUCUCCUCUAUCACUUUGGAGAGGCUCGCUGCCUACUCCAGCUAACAGUAUCCUCUUUCCACCCCCCACCUUCUCAUCCAGUCUAUUAUUUGCCUAUUAUCUGUGAUCUCUAAUAGAACACAAACCCAGAGGACAGGGGCCCUGUCUGUCCCAUAUACCACCAGAGCCUAGUGUCUAGAACUGUGUCUGGCACAUAGUAGUUAUUCAGUAAACAUAUGCAAGGGGGCAGGUCUGACGGGGGCUGCAUACAGGACCACAGUGGGGGUCCAGCUGUAAGCUCUGCAAUCCCCAGCAUCCUUUUAGGCCCCAUGCAUUGACAGCCCCUGCUUUUGUGUCCCUUCCCCUCCCACCAGCCUCCACGGGCAGAGACGAGACCAAGAGGUCAUGUGUCUCCUAGAGACACACUGGGGUGGGGGUGGGGCUCAGUUCAAUAGUAAGCAGUGUGAUACCUAAUCACUCUGAUCCUGGUGCAGGACAGUCUCGGGGAGGAUCCCCAGUAGUCCAGCUAGCCCCACAGACAACUAGCAUUGCAGCCAGACAGAACAAAGAGGCAGAGCCCAGAGGGGGCCACUCACAACCACGGACUCCCGACUCCCUCACACUGUCUCAGCCCUUCUGAAGGCCUGGCUACCCACAGGACUUGGACAGAAGGGGCCUUGAGAACAGAAGCACAGAUGCAGGUGCUGUGAGGUAUUGGUGAGUGGAGGAGGGGGACGGACGAGCAGGUGCUCGGCUGCUCCUGUGGAUGCCUCUGACUGGUGCUCUCCUGAGCAUGCCUGUGCUGUCUUGUCUUUUGCUUUUAAUGUAGACUCUGCAACAGAGGACACACACCAAGCAAAACAGGUGAGCAGUGGAAAGGACCCCCCCCAGCCUGGAUCCCACACUUGGCUCCCAUUCCCAAGGAUAAGCACACCCACCGGAUCCUUGCAAGACGUAUUUCUGCAUACAGAAAGGCAGGGCCACGCACGGACACAUGUGGCUGUGCUCUCCAAGCUCGGUUCUGCUUGUUAUAUUGCUGCACUUGGUGCAUCCGGACACUCUUCGUCAUCGGAGUUUAUCGUGAACCCCUGUGGUGAUUCUCCUGAAAGCCCCUGUUCCACAGCGAAUCCCCUCUUGUUGGACAUUAAGGAUACUUCCAGCUCUAAGCUUUUACAGAUCAUAUCUUGAUAUGCCAAUCUUUACACAUGCCUCAUUUUGCAAGCUGCUUUUCUUUUUUGCUCAAUAAUAAACGAUGCUUAUCUUCCCGGGUAAA